GACGAACGCUGGCGGCGUGCCUAAUACAUGCAAGUCGAACGCUGAAGAGAGGAGCUUACUCUUCUUGGAUGAGUUGCGAACGGGUGAGUAACGCGUAGGUAACCUGCCUUGUAGCGGGGGAUAACUAUUGGAAACGAUAGCUAAUACCGCAUAACAAUGGAUGACACAUGUCAUUUAUUUGAAAGGGGCAAUUGCUCCACUACAAGAUGGACCUGCGUUGUAUUAGCUAGUAGGUGAGGUAAUGGCUCACCUAGGCGACGAUACGUAGCCGACCUGAGAGGGUGAUCGGCCACACUGGGACUGAGACACGGCCCAGACUCCUACGGGAGGCAGCAGUAGGGAAUCUUCGGCAAUGGGGGCAACCCUGACCGAGCAACGCCGCGUGAGUGAAGAAGGUUUUCGGAUCGUAAAGCUCUGUUGUAAGUCAAGAACGGGUGUGAGAGUGGAAAGUUCACACUGUGACGGUAGCUUACCAGAAAGGGACGGCUAACUACGUG
This 497-nucleotide ribosomal RNA is filed under the name uncultured bacterium. RNAcentral describes it as "partial 16S ribosomal RNA". It matches the Rfam family "Bacterial small subunit ribosomal RNA", at positions 28 to 507 of the family's 1533-position model. The record is from RNAcentral.